GAUGAAGAACGUAGCGAAAUGCGAUACGUAAUGUGAAUUGCAGAAUUCAGUGAAUCAUCGAAUCUUUGAACGCAUAUUGCGCUCUUUGGUAUUCCGAAGAGCAUGCUUGUUUGAGUAUCAGUAAACACCUCAACCUCUUCUUGAUUUUUCAAAAGGAGGGUGGACUUGAGCUAUCCCAACAACCUUUACCGGUCGGCGGGCGGCUUGAAAUGCAGGUGCAGCUGGACUUUUAUCUGAGCUAAAAGCAUAUCUAUUUAGUCCUCGUCAAACAGGAUUAUUACUUUUGCUGCAGCUAACAUAAAGGAUAAUUGUCCUCUUUGCUGACUGAUGCAGGAUUUUACGACACUUUAUGUGUUGUUCAACUCGAUCUCAAAUCAAGUAAGACUACCCGCUGAACUUAAGCUUAUCAAUAAGCGGAGGA
This 421-nucleotide unclassified non-coding RNA is filed under the name soil metagenome. RNAcentral's name for it is "partial contains 5.8S ribosomal RNA, internal transcribed spacer 2, and large subunit ribosomal RNA". The stretch from base 1 to 120 matches the Rfam family "5.8S ribosomal RNA", at positions 35 to 154 of the family's 154-position model. The record is from RNAcentral.